This 1311-nucleotide ribosomal RNA is filed under the name Triticum aestivum (bread wheat). RNAcentral's name for it is "partial small subunit ribosomal RNA". The record is from RNAcentral. Lineage: Eukaryota; Viridiplantae; Streptophyta; Magnoliopsida; Poales; Poaceae.
AUGCAUGAUCUUGUGCGGGAAUUAGCCAUUUUCCAAUCCAAGAGAGAGAGUUUCGGUACAACUUAUGAUGAUAGUCAUGGGGUGAUGCAGGUGGAGUCAGAUUCUCGUCGCAUGUCGGUGCUCCAAUGCAAAAAUGACACUCAACCAAGCAUAGGUCAAUGCAGGCUUCGUACCUUCAUAGCAUUCAACACUAGUAUGGGAUCCUUUCCAUGGUUUAGAUCAGAAUCGAAGUACCUUGCUGUGUUGGAGCUAUCAGGGUUACCUAUUGAGACCGUUCCAAAUUCAAUUGGGGAGCUAUUCAGCCUUAGGUAUUUGGGCCUCGACAAAACCAAGGUGAAGGUACUCCCGAAAUCUGUUGUGAACCUUCACAACUUAGAAACAUUGAGUCUUCGAGGUGCAGACUGUCUGUAUCUCCCACGAGGGUCUAAAAAGUUGAAGAGCUUGAGGCACAUUAUAAUGGGUAAAUUGCUGGACGGAACUUUCUCGAGUUUCAAAAGUUUUGAAUCUAUGGAGCCUUCUGAGGGAUUGUGGAGUUUCAUGAACUUGCAAACUCUAGGUGCAGUUCGAGCUAGUAAAGCUUUCGUUGCAAAACUAGCAAGUUUAUCUCAGCUGAGGACCCUUAGCAUUACUGGGGUAAGGAGCAUCCACUGUGCACAGUUGUGUGACUCUCUGUCAAAGAUGCACCACCUCUCAUUAUUAGAAAUAAGUGCUAGCAACGAAGAUGAGGUGCUGCAGCUUGAAACUUUAACAUUGUCAAAUCGUCUUAAAAAGCUCACUUUGAUUGGGCGAUUUUCUGAAGGCACUUUGAAGUCUCCAUUUUGCUCAAACAAUGGAGAUGUACUUCACAGGUUUUUUCUCUAUUGGUCCCAGCUCUCGGAGAACCCAGUGCCGUGCCUCUCUGAAUUGUCAAACUUGACCCAAAUACGUCUAAACAAAGCGUAUACUGGACAGGAGAUAAACUUCCAGACAGAGUGGUUCCCAAAUGUGAAGACUCUUUCCUUAUUGAAUUUGCCACAUGUCAACCAAAUAUGCAUACACGAGGGAGCUUUGGUCCGCCUUGAAGAACUUGUGAUCAUAAACCUGGCCGAACUGCAGGACAUACCUGGGCUGGGACAUCUGAAAUCCCUCAAAGAGACGCAGUUUUAUGACAUGCAUCCUGAUUUUGUAAGGAAUCUUGAAGCGGCAAGACUAGAGCAUAUCCCGAUAUCCUACUACAGGACAGUGCGGGAAUUGAACCAUCCUAGCCAAUAUAUUAUGUUUGCACUUUUCAUGCCAUUCAGUGUGUGCUCGAUUACCUGCACCAAAUUCUAG